This 1489-nucleotide ribosomal RNA is filed under the name Lactiplantibacillus argentoratensis. Its description in RNAcentral is "bacterial SSU rRNA". It matches the Rfam family "Bacterial small subunit ribosomal RNA". The record is from RNAcentral. Lineage: Bacteria; Bacillati; Bacillota; Bacilli; Lactobacillales; Lactobacillaceae.
GGCGAACGCUGGCGGCGUGCCUAAUACAUGCAAGUCGAACGAACUCUGGUAUUGAUUGGUGCUUGCAUCAUGAUUUACAUUUGAGUGAGUGGCGAACUGGUGAGUAACACGUGGGAAACCUGCCCAGAAGCGGGGGAUAACACCUGGAAACAGAUGCUAAUACCGCAUAACAACUUGGACCGCAAGGUCCGAGCUUGAAAGAUGGCUUCGGCUAUCACUUUUGGAUGGUCCCGCGGCGUAUUAGCUAGAUGGUGGGGUAACGGCUCACCAUGGCAAUGAUACGUAGCCGACCUGAGAGGGUAAUCGGCCACAUUGGGACUGAGACACGGCCCAAACUCCUACGGGAGGCAGCAGUAGGGAAUCUUCCACAAUGGACGAAAGUCUGAUGGAGCAACGCCGCGUGAGUGAAGAAGGGUUUCGGCUCGUAAAACUCUGUUGUUAAAGAAGAACAUAUCUGAGAGUAACUGUUCAGGUAUUGACGGUAUUUAACCAGAAAGCCACGGCUAACUACGUGCCAGCAGCCGCGGUAAUACGUAGGUGGCAAGCGUUGUCCGGAUUUAUUGGGCGUAAAGCGAGCGCAGGCGGUUUUUUAAGUCUGAUGUGAAAGCCUUCGGCUCAACCGAAGAAGUGCAUCGGAAACUGGGAAACUUGAGUGCAGAAGAGGACAGUGGAACUCCAUGUGUAGCGGUGAAAUGCGUAGAUAUAUGGAAGAACACCAGUGGCGAAGGCGGCUGUCUGGUCUGUAACUGACGCUGAGGCUCGAAAGUAUGGGUAGCAAACAGGAUUAGAUACCCUGGUAGUCCAUACCGUAAACGAUGAAUGCUAAGUGUUGGAGGGUUUCCGCCCUUCAGUGCUGCAGCUAACGCAUUAAGCAUUCCGCCUGGGGAGUACGGCCGCAAGGCUGAAACUCAAAGGAAUUGACGAGGGCCCGCACAAGCGGUGGAGCAUGUGGUUUAAUUCGAAGCUACGCGAAGAACCUUACCAGGUCUUGACAUACUAUGCAAAUCUAAGAGAUUAGACGUUCCCUUCGGGGACAUGGAUACAGGUGGUGCAUGGUUGUCGUCAGCUCGUGUCGUGAGAUGUUGGGUUAAGUCCCGCAACGAGCGCAACCCUUAUUAUCAGUUGCCAGCAUUAAGUUGGGCACUCUGGUGAGACUGCCGGUGACAAACCGGAGGAAGGUGGGGAUGACGUCAAAUCAUCAUGCCCCUUAUGACCUGGGCUACACACGUGCUACAAUGGAUGGUACAACGAGUUGCGAACUCGCGAGAGUAAGCUAAUCUCUUAAAGCCAUUCUCAGUUCGGAUUGUAGGCUGCAACUCGCCUACAUGAAGUCGGAAUCGCUAGUAAUCGCGGAUCAGCAUGCCGCGGUGAAUACGUUCCCGGGCCUUGUACACACCGCCCGUCACACCAUGAGAGUUUGUAACACCCAAAGUCGGUGGGGUAACCUUUUAGGAACCAGCCGCCUAAGGUGGGACAGAUGAUUAGGGUG